ACAGUUAUGACAAUGUAAUUAUCUCCAAACGCCCAAAAUCCCACGUUUUCUUGCAACAUACAAAACAGUAUAAAAAUACAUAACUUUAGCAUUUUAAUAGACAAUUCGUGUAUUCUACCGUUCAUUAUGUAGCCCAGAUCUGAGCGCAACAGAUAGUCGAAUAGCGCUCAGCAGGGGUACUUAACCUGCGGUUAACCGCAAAACCAACAUUCUAAUUGGGGCCAUAUGCCAGGAUGUAGGUGGUCCUCGUUCGUGAGUCUUUUGGU
This is a non-coding RNA of Pelobates cultripes (western spadefoot toad), 266 nucleotides long. NCBI's taxonomy places the organism in Eukaryota, Metazoa, Chordata, Amphibia, Anura, Pelobatidae. The record is from the annotation of a GenBank genome assembly.